GGGGGUAUAGCUCAGCUGGGAGAGCACCUGCUUUGCAAGCAGGGGGUCAGGAGUUCGAUCCUCCUUAUCUCCA
Molecule: transfer RNA, 73 nt
Filed under: Fibrobacteraceae bacterium
Lineage: Bacteria; Pseudomonadati; Fibrobacterota; Fibrobacteria; Fibrobacterales; Fibrobacteraceae
Description: tRNA-Ala
Rfam family: tRNA
About the family: Transfer RNA (tRNA) molecules are approximately 80 nucleotides in length. Their secondary structure includes four short double-helical elements and three loops (D, anti-codon, and T loops). Further hydrogen bonds mediate the characteristic L-shaped molecular structure. tRNAs have two regions of fundamental functional importance: the anti-codon, which is responsible for specific mRNA codon recognition, and the 3' end, to which the tRNAs corresponding amino acid is attached (by aminoacyl-tRNA synthetases). tRNAs cope with the degeneracy of the genetic code in two manners: having more than one tRNA (with a specific anti-codon) for a particular amino acid; and 'wobble' base-pairing, i.e. permitting non-standard base-pairing at the 3rd anti-codon position.
Source: RNAcentral